Molecule: ribosomal RNA, 536 nt
Filed under: uncultured Gammaproteobacteria bacterium
Lineage: Bacteria; Pseudomonadati; Pseudomonadota; Gammaproteobacteria
Description: bacterial SSU rRNA
Rfam family: Bacterial small subunit ribosomal RNA
Source: RNAcentral
GGCGGCAGGCCUAACACAUGCAAGUCGAGCGGCAGCGCGGUGGUAGCAAUACCAUUGGCGGCGAGCGGCGGACGGGUGAGGAACACAUCGGAAUCUACCCUGUCGUGGGGGACAACGUAGGGAAACUUACGCUAAUACCGCAUACGACCUUUGGGUGAAAGUGGGGGACUCGCAAGAGCCUCACGCGAUUGGAUGAGCCGAUGUCCGAUUAGCUAGUUGGCGGGGUAAUGGCCCACCAAGGCGACGAUCGGUAGCUGGUCUGAGAGGACGACCAGCCACACUGGAACUGAGACACGGUCCAGACUCCUACGGGAGGCAGCAGUGGGGAAUAUUGGACAAUGGGGGCAACCCUGAUCCAGCCAUGCCGCGUGGGUGAAGAAGGCCUUCGGGUUGUAAAGCCCUUUUGUACGGGAAGAAAAGCUUCCGGUGAAUAUCCGGGGGUCAUGACGGUACCGUAAGAAUAAGCACCGGCUAACUUCGUGCCAGCAGCCGCGGUAAUACGAAGGGUGCAAGCGUUACUCGGAAUUACUGGGCGU